CUAGUUCAGUAUUUGCCAUACUACAUGGAAAUUGUUUCCUCGUGUGCCCAUCUCUCCCCCUAGACUGCAAACUCCUAGAGAAGGGCCCAACAAUGAGUUCUGAGGAAGAAGGCAGAGCAAUGAUGGAAGGCUUCUUAAAGAGAUAACACUAACAAAGUUGACCUGAGAAUUGGAGUGCCUGGGACAGAACCUUGUUGGUAUCACCUGUUUACUGCACACUUUAGAUGUGAGCUCAGAAGAAGAAACUGGCAAGGACAGCAAAGAACAGGAGAACAUUCUAGCUUCCUUGAUAGCAUUCAAGGUGCUGUCCUAACUGACUGGGAUGGCACCCUCCAGACAGACAGCGAUGCCACGUGUUCAAGAUGGCAGAAUCACUAUCAGCUUCAAUUCCUGAAUGACUGCAGAGCAAAAUUUCCUACCUGCAACAUAUAGUCUAUUUGCAACCUCCCUGGACUGUUAAAUAAUGAUAUAUUAAAAUAUUUGUUGUGUUGAGCCAUCCCAAGUUUGAUCUAUUUGUCAUUACAAUCUAUCCUACUAAUAUAUUUCUGAUCAAAAUAAUGCUAGAAUCAUGAGAUUAUAGUCCAGAGUUUUUUUUUUUUUUUUUUUUUUUUUUUUUGAGACAGAAUCUCACUGUCUCCCAGGCUGGGGUGCAGUGGCAUAAUAUCAGCUUACUGCAACCUUCACUCCUGGGCUCAGGUGAUCCUCUCUCCGUAGCCUCCCUGAAUAGCUGGGACCACAGGUGUGCAUCACCAUACUCGGCUAAUUAUUUUGUAUUUUUUUGCAGAGAUGGGGUUUUACCACAUUGCCCAAGCUGGUUUCAAACUCCUCGACUUAAGAGAUCUACCCACCUUGGCCUCCCAAAAUGCUGAAAUUACACAUGUGAGCCAUAGUAAUAGUUCCUAGCCAUAGUCCAGAGAUAUUUCAAAAACUUUAGUGUGAGUUAUUUCUCUUUGCUAUAAUGCUUAUGCUUUUUGAAAUCCUUUUCUGCCAUACCAUGCUUUCUGGGAAGUCAUUUUGGACAGACAUAUCACAGGAUGGAGAAAUUAAAGAGAGAGAGAAUGCAUUAAAAAAAAUAGCAUUUUAUAUUUCAGAAAUUACAAAAGAUGUCUGCCCCAGCAGAAAUAGAAUGGUGGGCAGUCAUUUGUAACCCACUGAACAUGAGUUUCUAAAAUUUAAGUGUUUUUAACUUACCAAAGUCAACUUAUCUGAUGAAGUUAGCACAGUGAUUACUCCAAAUAUGUGAAAUCCAAAUUUCAAACACAAUAGCAGGAAAUUGGAAAUGGAUAGUUCAUUGUUAGUUCAUGCAAAAACUACUGAUUUUCUAUGUUGAUUUUGUAUACUGCAACUUUGUUGAAUUCUCAAUAAAUGGUGUUGGAAAAAUUGGAUGUCCUCAUAAAGAGAAUGAAAUUGAACACAUCACAUCCCAUAUACAAGAAUCAACUCAAAAUGGUUUGAAGACUUAAAUAUAAGAUCUGAAACUAUAAAACUACUAAAAAAAAAAUAAGGAAAUCUCUACACAUUGAUCUGAGCUAUGACCCUAAAAGCACAGGUAACAAAAGAAAAGAGAGACCAUUCAUCUAUUAGUUAUUAUACUGCAUCAAACUAAAAAACUUAUGCACAGUGAAGCAAACAAUUUCCAAAAUAAAGGGAAAGCCCGCAGGCUAAGAACAAUAUUUGCAAAUAAUACAUCUAUUAAGGGACUAAUAUCCAAAAUAUAGGGAGAAAUUAAAUAACUCAAUAAUGAGAAAACAAGUAAUUCUGUUAAAAAUAGGCAAAAAACUUGAAUAGACAUUUCUCAAAAGAAGACACUCAAAUGUCCAGUGGGUUAUUAAUAACAAAGCUCAAUAUCCCUAUCGCUAAUCAUUGGAGAAAUGCAAAUUGAAACCACAAUGAAAUACCACCGCAGGUCUGUUAGAAUGGCUAUUAUCAAAAAAAUGAAAUUUAAGUGUUGG
Molecule: long non-coding RNA, 1952 nt
Organism: Callithrix jacchus (white-tufted-ear marmoset)
Lineage: Eukaryota; Metazoa; Chordata; Mammalia; Primates; Cebidae
Source: RefSeq, a predicted model, not a curated record